AGCGAACGCUGGCGGCAGGCCUAACACAUGCAAGUCGAACGGAUCCUUCGGGAUUAGUGGCGGACGGGUGAGUAACACGUGGGAACGUGCCCUUUGGUUCGGAACAACUCAGGGAAACUUGAGCUAAUACCGGAUGUGCCCUUCGGGGGAAAGAUUUAUCGCCAUUGGAGCGGCCCGCGUCUGAUUAGCUAGUUGGUGAGGUAACGGCCCAUCAAGGCGACGAUCAGUAGCUGGUCUGAGAGGAUGAUCAGCCACACUGGGACUGAGACACGGCCCAGACUCUUACGGGAGGCAGCAGUGGGGAAUCUUGCGCAAUGGGCGAAAGCCUGACGCAGCCAUGCCGCGUGAAUGAUGAAGGUCUUAGGAUUGUAAAAUUCUUUCAGCGGGGACGAUAAUGACGGUACCCGCAGAAGAAGCUCCGGCUAACUUCGUG
This 433-nucleotide ribosomal RNA is filed under the name uncultured bacterium. Its description in RNAcentral is "partial 16S ribosomal RNA". It matches the Rfam family "Bacterial small subunit ribosomal RNA", at positions 29 to 507 of the family's 1533-position model. The record is from RNAcentral.